Molecule: ribosomal RNA, 396 nt
Filed under: uncultured eukaryote
Lineage: Eukaryota
Description: SSU rRNA
Rfam family: Eukaryotic small subunit ribosomal RNA
Source: RNAcentral
AGCUCCAUCAGUGUAUAUUAACGUUGUUGCGGUUAAAAAGCUCGUAGUUGGAUUUCGGAGAGUGAAGGUCAAGACCCAUCAAAUUGGUGUUGGUCCGACAGUCGCCUCCUAUUUUUUUAGAGUAACGGCCUUGUUUCCUUUGCGGGUUACGAGUGUUUCUCCGUUCUCUAUCUUUUACUUUGAUAAAAUCAGAGUGUUCAAAGCAGGCGUCACUUGCCUUGAAUGUUGCCGCAGGGGAUAAUAGAAUAUGACUUUGGUCUUAUUUUGUUGGUUUCUAGGGCUGAAGUAAUGACUAAUAGGGACAGUUGGGGGCGCUCGUAUUGAGUUGCUAGAGGUGAAAUUCUAGGAUUUACUCAAGACGGACUACUGCGAAAGCAUUCGCCAAGGAUGUUUUCA